Molecule: ribosomal RNA, 444 nt
Filed under: uncultured cyanobacterium
Lineage: Bacteria; Bacillati; Cyanobacteriota
Description: bacterial SSU rRNA
Rfam family: Bacterial small subunit ribosomal RNA
Source: RNAcentral
AGAGUUUGAUCAUGGCUCAGGAUGAACGCUGGCGGUCUGCUUAACACAUGCAAGUCGAACGGAAGUAGCAAUACUUUAGUGGCGGACGGGUGAGUAACGCGUGAGAAUCUACCUUCAGGACGGAGACAACAGUUGGAAACGACUGCUAACCCCCGAUGUACCGCAAGGGCAAAUAUUUAUAGCCUGAAGAAGAGCUCGCGUCCGAUUAGCUAGUUGGGGGGGUAAAAGCCCACCAAGGCGACGAUCGGUAGCUGGUCUGAGAGGACGAUCAGCCACACUGGGACUGAGACACGGCCCAGACUCCUACGGGAGGCAGCAGUGGGGAAUUUUCCGCAAUGGGCGCAAGCCUGACGGAGCAAGACCGCGUGGGGGAGGAAGGCUCUUGGGUUGUAAACCCCUUUUCUCUGGGAAGAACAAAAUGACGGUACCAGAGGAAUCAGCAUC